AAAAGAGCCGUCUCUUUUUGGUGAGCUGAGCCGGAAUGCCCAUCACUAUCUGGACGCUUGUGUAACGCGGGUCGUAUAAAGGAGACCAAGGCGCAGCGUGUAUAGUGCUCAUUCUUUAACUUUUAAUGAAGACACUUGAACAAAACAACAAACGACCGACAACAGUUCCGUAAGGUACACUUGAUAAAACGGAAAACAACUACCCACAAAAACCCAGGAAGAAAAACCCCUACUUAAAUAUGAUCUCCAAUCAGAGGCAACGAGGACCAGCUGCCUCCAAUUGGAGAUCAACCCAAAAAACAACAACAUAGAAAUAGAAAACCUAGAACACAAACACAGAAAUAGAAAACAUAGAAAACACAAAACACCCCCUGUCAUGCCCUGACCUACUCUACUAUAGAAAAUGACAUCUUACUAGGGUCAGGACGUGACAGUAUCCCCCCCCCCAAAGGUGCAGACUCCGAAUGCAACAAAACCAACAUAAAAAAAACACAAAACAAAAGGGAGGGUAGGGAGGGUGAUAAUUGUCUAUGGCGGCUCAAAUGCAGUCCACAUAACCUUAACCUCCAGCAUAGGAGGCGGCUCCGGUUCGAGGCGUACUCCCCGCUCCACCCGCUGAUCCUUCUGCUUUAUUACCACCUGACCGUGGAUCGUCGUCGAAGGAACCGGACUGUAGAUCAUUGCUGGAGGUUCUGGGCUGCAGGCCACCGCUGGAGACUCUGGGCUGCAGGCCGCUGCUGAAGGCUCCGGACUGAAGAGCGUCGCUGGAGGCUCCGGACUGAAGAGUGUCGCUGGAGGCUUCGGACUGAAAAACGUCGCUGGAGGCUCCGGACUGAAGAGCGUUGCUGGAGGCUCCGGACUGAGGAGUGUCGCUGGAGGCUCCGGACUGAGGAACGUCGCUGGAAGCUCCGGACGGAGAAACGUCGCCGGAGGUUCCGGACUGGGAGGCGUCAUACUAGGUUCCGGACUAGUGACCAUUGCUGCUGGUUCCAUGCCAUGGAUCAUCUCUACAGGUUUCGCGCCCUGGAUCAUCACUGGAGGCUUCUUACCAUGGAUUAUCUCUACAGGUGCCGGGCCAUGGAUUAUUCCUACAGGCUUCGUGCCAUGGUGUAUCCCUACAGGCUCCGGACCAUUUAUAAUCCCUCCAGGCUUUUUGCCAAGGAUUAUCUCUACAGGUUCCGGGCCAUGGAUUACCUCUAAAGGCUUCGUGCCAUGGAACAUCCCUACAGGCUCCGGGCCAUGGAUCAUCACUAGAGGCUUAGUACCAUGGAUCAUCUCUACAGGCGUCGGACCAUCGAUUAUCACUGGAGGCUUUGUACGUGGAGCUGGAACCGGUCUUACCGGACUGGGGAGACGCACUGAGGACCGAGUGCUCAAAGCAGGCACCGGCCGUACUGGGUUAUGGAUGCGCACUGGAGGGAGAGUGCGAAGAACAGGCACAGGACGUACUGGAUUCUGGAGGCGCACUGGAGGGAGACCGCGAGGAGCAGGCACAGGACGUACUGUGUUAUGGAGGCGCACUGGAGAGAGAGAGUGCGAGAGGCAGGCACAUGCUCACCACAAAAAGCAUGGGGAGUUGACUCAGGCCUCACCCCUGGCCCAGCCAAACUACCCGGCUGCCUCUCGUUCUUCCCAGGUAGGCUCCGGUAUCUCUCGAUUACCUGGCCCCAGGUCCAAUUCCUCCUCUCCGUCCACUCACUAUGUGACCAGGUGUCCAUUUCAGCCCGGGCACGCCGCUUGAUCCAAUCUUGGUGGGUAGUUCUGUAACGUGGGUCGUAUAAAGGAGACCAAGGCGCAGCGUGUAUAGUGCUCAUUCUUUAACUUUCAAUGAAGACACUUGAACAAAACAACAAACGACCGACAACAGUUUCGUAAGGUACACUUGACAAAUGGAAAACAACUACCCACAAAAACCCAGGAAGAAAAACCCCUACUAAAAUAUGAUCUCCAAUCAGAGGCAACGAGGACCAGCUGCCUCCAAUUGGAGAUCAACCCAAAAAACAACAACAUAGAAAUAGAAAACCUAGAACAUAAACCUAGAAAUAGAAAACAUAGAAAAACACAAAACACCCCCUGUCACGCUCUGACCUACUCUACUAUAGAAAAUGACAUCUUACUAGCGUCAGGACGUGACAGCUUGUGUAGUGACACGGAACCCAAAACGGCUGC
RNAcentral lists this long non-coding RNA (2169 nucleotides) under Salmo salar (Atlantic salmon). RNAcentral's name for it is "lncRNA (ENSSSAG00000108568.1)". The record is from RNAcentral. Lineage: Eukaryota; Metazoa; Chordata; Actinopteri; Salmoniformes; Salmonidae.